This 620-nucleotide ribosomal RNA is filed under the name Eulimnogammarus verrucosus. Its description in RNAcentral is "SSU rRNA". It matches the Rfam family "Eukaryotic small subunit ribosomal RNA", at positions 14 to 550 of the family's 1831-position model. The record is from RNAcentral. Lineage: Eukaryota; Metazoa; Arthropoda; Malacostraca; Amphipoda; Eulimnogammaridae.
CUGCCAGUAGUCAUAUGCUUGUCUCAAAGAUUAAGCCAUGCAUGUCUAAGUCCAAGCUGUGUUCACACGGCGAGACCGCGGACGGCUCAUUAAAUCAGUCGUGGUCCAAAUGGGCCAGUGCAAAUCCUACUUGGAUAACUGUGGUAAUUCCAGAGCUAAUACAUGCAACUGAUAUCCCGAAGGCGGUGUUGGGGCUUGCUUGCCUUGCGCUGCGCUGCUCUGACGGAUGCUUUUAUUAGACCAAGCCGCUGAGGACUUGAGGGUUCGCGCUCUCUUGUUUGACUCGUGUGAUGGUGACUCUGGAUAACCAAAUUCUGACAAGCGCACGUACUUCUCUUCUGAGCGAGACGGCGCUGCCACUUUCGAGUGUCUGCCUUAUCAGCUAUCAACCGUUCGUUAUGCGCGACCGAUGGCUUUGACGGGUAACGGGGAAUCAGGGUUCGAUUCCGGAGAGGCAGCCUGAGAGACGGCUACCACGUCCAAGGACGGCAGCAGGCACGCAAAUUACCCAAUCCCAGCAAAUGGGGGAGGUAGUGACGAAAUCUAACGAUGCGGGCGCCCUUUCUGGGGCCCCGCAAUCGGAAUGGGCACUUUCUAAACAACCUGUUGAGAACCUACUG